GCAAAGUGCAGUGGGGCAUUCCUGUAGUCCCAGCUACUUGGGAAGCUGACAUAGGAGGAUCACUUGACCCAGGAAUUCUGGGCUGUAGAACGGCCCCUAUAAGAUAGUUGGGCUGGGUAUAGAAUUCCAGUUUGGAAAUUGCUUUCCUGCGCUAUGCUGAUCAAGUGUCUGCACUAAGUUCAGCAUCAAUAUGGUGACCUCUCGAGGUCAGGGAACCACCAGGUUGCCUAAGGAGGCAUGAACUGGCCCAGGUCAUAGAUGGAGCAGGUCAAAACUCCCGUGCUGAUCGGUAGUGGGAUCGUGCCUAUGAAUAGCCACUACACUGCAGCCUGGGCAAUAUAGUGAGACCGGUCUCU
Cebus imitator (Panamanian white-faced capuchin) is the source of this 356-nucleotide unclassified non-coding RNA. It matches the Rfam family "Metazoan signal recognition particle RNA". From Rfam's summary of the family: The signal recognition particle (SRP) is a universally conserved ribonucleoprotein. It is involved in the co-translational targeting of proteins to membranes. NCBI's taxonomy places the organism in Eukaryota, Metazoa, Chordata, Mammalia, Primates, Cebidae. The record is from Ensembl.